UACGGAGGGGGCAAGCGUUGUUCGGAAUUACUGGGCGUAAAGGGCGCGUAGGCGGCGUGACAGGUCAGGCGUGAAAGCCCCGGGCUCAACCUGGGAAUUGCGCUUGAUACGGUCAUGCUUGAGGUUGGGAGAGGAGAGUGGAAUUCCCAGUGUAGAGGUGAAAUUCGUAGAUAUUGGGAAGAACACCAGUGGCGAAGGCGGCUCUCUGGCCCAUACCUGACGCUGAGGCGCGAAAGCGUGGGGAGCAAAC
Molecule: ribosomal RNA, 250 nt
Filed under: uncultured bacterium
Lineage: Bacteria
Description: partial 16S ribosomal RNA
Rfam family: Bacterial small subunit ribosomal RNA
Source: RNAcentral